This 91-nucleotide non-coding RNA is filed under the name Frankia sp. Lineage: Bacteria; Bacillati; Actinomycetota; Actinomycetes; Frankiales; Frankiaceae. The record is from RNAcentral.
AGGGGAACUUCGGUGCGGCGCGAGGCGCCAAGGCCGGGGCGGUCCCGCCACUGUGAGCCGCGACCAGUUGGCGCGGUGAGCCAGAACACCU